ACAGUCCUGGAAGAUCGCGUGUGAUUUAAGUACUGAUCAUUAAUAUUAUUAAUGCUAAAUGGAAGCGAGGUUUAUUGCACUCAGUCUGUGUUUACAACAUUUAAUUGUAACAACAGUCAUGUUCAGAAUUAAAUUACAAAGCCACUUUAUUGGAUGGAAGAAGACUAUUUUUGCUCUGUAAUGUGAAGUCUUAAAAUCAGAACAUGAGUGGAAAUGUAUAUUUUCUCAAAGGAUAACAAAUGGAUUGAGAAUUGUCCAGCAAAAUCUAGUUCUCCAUCCUAUCGUUUCAAGCCUAUUCCUGAAGGAAAAGUGCUUCAAAUAAAAGAAGGUGAAAUAUUCUGUGAUUCUGUUCUGGAUGCAGCCUGCUGUAGGGAGCCUGCUUUAGCAGGGGGUUGAACUCCGUGAUCUCCAGAGGUCCCUUCCAACCCCUACACUUCUGUGAUUGCGUGAAAUCCAGCUUUGGUGCUAGAAGGUGUGUGCAGUGAUGUGCUCUGCAAGGAAGACAAUAAAGGCAUACCCCCAAAACAACCACAGCCGCCCAGCUGCACCCACAAAGGCCGUGUCUGUGUUAGCGAGUGUGAGAGAUCAGCCUGACCCAGUCACAGAACCACAGAAUGGUUAGGGCUGGAAGGGACCUUGAAGAUCAUCUUAUUCUACCCUCCUGCAAAUCUGUUGGUGCCGAAGACCUGAUGGAUAUCCAUGUGCUUCCACAUGGUUUUCUUUAGCUUUGCUCUAGCCUAGGUCUCUAGCACUCAAGACCCAUUAGAUGCCCUUCUAAAGCCUUGUCUUCUUGUCCAGUGCCACCUGCAUAGCAUCCACCCUGUGCACUCUUCCCUGCUGGGUAAAACAAAACGUGGCUGAGCAAAGGAUGACCUGGAGACUCAUCCUGAAAGUGAGCCACGCCAGAACAUGAACGUGGCUGUGCCCAUAGGGUGGGUGACUGUCCCAGGUGUGAGAACUGGAGCCUGCUCUGCAGCAUGCCUUCCUAGCACUCACACCACCUCUGCACGGUUCCAAGCCUCCACCGCAAAAUGCCCCAGUGCUCAGCACUGCUUCUGCGAGUGGCUGCAUGCUGACCGUUCUGGUGCCUCCAGCCAGAGCCUGACUCGGGUGUUUCACCUCCUGCUUCCCUUUUACCACCAUGGGAACUGCGCUCUUGGCAUGAAGAGAGAGAAGGAGAGAGUACAGUCGUAAACUGCAAUUGCUUAAAGAACCAGUUUGGUGUUGUUUCAUUAGCCCAAGGCCUUGGUUACAAUGAAACAACGAUAGAUGCGUUUAAAUUAAGAGCACCGGGAUUAGACAGGGGUAGAAAUUGCUUGGCGUUAAAAUGACUACAGAAAAACUUCUGUUUCACACAUGUAAACAGUUUCUAGGUUACAUCUGACUCUGUAAAUCUAGGGAGAAGGAAACAAGUAUGCAUUUAUUCAUGCAAUUUAUCUCCUCCAUGGUGUAUGCCAAGGUCCCCAAGUCAGUGUUUGCUUUGCUAAUGGCAUCUCUACAGCAGUCCAUUUACUUCCCUUAUAUGGCCUUUAUAUUCACUCGCUGAGCUGCUGCCAUUCUGCAUUCCCUCAUAGAGACUGCACACGGAGUUCUGCAUCUCUCCUGAAGCAUCUUAUCUUGCCAACUGUCUCUGAAUGCCCCCGCAAGCUGGCCACAUGGCUUAUCCACUUGAAUAAGAUCUCUUUCUCCAUCCGGUUGCUGUCAGAGAGACAAGUAGUUUUGUUUUGAUUAGAAACAAAUUAAACACAUUGCAUGUUUAUGUAACUCUUAUUCCUUUUUUUCCCCUAAUGUUUGCGAUUCAGCAUGCUUCAACCAUAUCAACAUUUGCUGUCUUUUCAGGGAACAUUGUGCUAAGAGGUAUUUUUACUGUGAAAACCAAAAUAUUUCAACUCAUAUCUAACCUGUAGAUGAAAAAAUAGAAAGGGAGUUAUUGCACGGUGCUUCUGGACCCGUGAUCUUUCCUAUAACCACAAAAGCUGAGACCUCCUCUGAGCAGAGCAAUAGCAGCAGUCCUGAUCCCCAGGGCCUUGUCUGUUCUGAAAUAGCAGCUGGUUUUAAAAUUGGUUCUGGUAUUUGGAGAUUUAACAGAAUCCUCUUUAGAGAGAGCCUCUGAAUUGGUGGCAGGAAUAUGAGAUGUGGAAUUCCCACUGCCGGCACCACCUGAAGUCAGAUCGGAUCAAACGCCUACCAACACACUGUCAGAAAGCUGCCAUAGCAGGGAGAUGGGAAAAUAUGCGUAUAGAUUUUACCGUCUCUCUUCUCCCUGAUCCAUUGACUAAGCUGCUGUUACAUCUGGGGCCCUACAGACUGGAUGGAGCUAAUCAGCAGAGCAGAAUAAAGAGAGAAAAUCCUGUCACUGCACCUAAAUCAAUCCAGUUAAUAUACACAUCACAGCCCCAGACACAGAAUCUUUCAUUACAGCAUAUCCUGUAAGACAAUCCACUGUCAUAUAAAAUGCCAUAGGGGAGUAGGUGUGUUCCUAAACUCCAAGGAAAAUGAAACAGAUAGUGAACCUCCAUCUCGUUUUUCCAUCUUGAAGAAUAAAAAGGAAAGGAAGAAAAAAGAAGCUUUUCUUUCACAGGCCACCAUCUGGUUUUCUCUUGUGUGGUCUGUAGGAGAGCGAUAGUGCCUUCAUGGUUCCGAGCAUCUUACAAAACUGGAUCUUCAGGUCAUGUCUGCACUCGAUUUUAAGUGGAAAAGAAAGAUGUAGGCACAACAAUAGACUUGAGGCGAUGUACUGGGAGCAGCAGAAAGUCAACUCAAUUAUUCAAAUACAGUCACUGAAAACCAAGCAGACGAGUAUUAUGGGGAGCCAUCUGAUAAUUAAUACGCUUACUUUAAAUUCUGUCACAGCAGCAGGAAGAAAACAACAACUAAUCAUGCAAAAAAGUAGCACCUCAAGUCUAACACCUGCAAAUUUCUCAUCCAGAGGAAGGUAAGGAAACAAAUUCAAAUUGCUGGAUCCUGAUAUACCCAAUGUGGUGCCUCUUCCAAGUAACACACAUUGUACGUUUACUGCUGUGGGUGGAAGUGGACUCCAGAGAUAUGAGGCUGUCACAUCUGAACCUGAAUCCUGGCCUAACAACUUAGCUCUGGGCAAAACAUUCUCUCUUCUGUUCCUUUCCAGUGCUAUGUUAUGAUUAGGAUUUAUCUUUAUGGUUGUACUAAUGGUGCUGAAUUUUACAAACCAUUACUGAAAAUUCAUGAACAGAACACGCUCACGAAGCAUGGAUGCCUCAAUGGAAAUACUGCUCUUGCUGCUAACCUCACUCGUAAUCUCUGGACACACCUACAAGUAAACUAUCAAUCAAUAAGAAGAAGGGAAACAACCUUUAUUAUAUGCAAUAAACCUUCCUUAAGCUGCUUCAUUUUUAAAGCAUUGUUACUUAUUAUGUAUUACAUAAAAGCCACCAGGUGCUCUGCACUUUGCCAAAUAGCAGCUGUAGCAAAACAAGCUCCCGAUUAUCUCUUUCAUGUCCCUUUGCCAGUGAGGCCCGUGGUAAUGGAAGAGGCUGGGGAGGCUCAUUGGGCACCAAGUCUGCAGCUGAGGGAGGAACAUCGGGGAGUUCAGGCAGGGUGUUAGGAAAAACUGAGAAUGAGCAGUGAGGCAGUGGCACAGGCUGCCCAUGGAGGUGGUGGAGUCACCAUCCCUGGAGGUGUUCAAGAGCCGUGUAGAUGUGGCACUGAGGGACGUGGUGAGCGGGCAUGGUGGGGAUGGGUUGGUGGUUCAAUUUAUUGGUCUUUCCAACCUUAACAAUUCUAUGAUUCUAUGUUCUGCCCUCACCGAUGCCACACAGAUGCUGAAGCCAUGGAAUGACAGGUCCCAGUCUCGUUCUCAUUUGACAGGGAACUGGCUUAGUUCUGCACAGAGGAAAACCACAUGGGUGAUUUCAAUCCUAAAUUUCCAUUCUUCCCAAGUGGGCUUGGAAAAAAUAAGGAAAGUCUGGGUUGUGAAUGAGUGAUUUCUCAGUAAGAAAUACUCAUUUACUGGCAGUCUGCUUUUUGUGCAUACGGAGCAACACAACGUAAUCGGGCCAACUUAUUUACUAGCAGAACAUCUACUCGUCCUCCCCAGGCGCAGGAAAACAGCGCUAAAGAAAGCACGGGUCCUGAACAGGAGUGUAAAGCCUCAGAAAGCAGCUUUCGCCCCGUCCCCGAAGCAGGGAGCGGUGCCGGAGCUCCCAGCGCUGCUCCGCAGUGCCGCUUGGUGGGCACCGCCGGCCGCGGUCAUCACUGCCGGCGCAGAGAUGUCAGCCUGUCUGCGUUCCUCACAAACCUCUCACCUGCUUCACAACCGCACCGUUCUGCUGUCUGAACGCUGACGAGCUGCGGGUGCAGAACACGCCGCGCUGACCUCACUGCUGGAUUUCGCAUGAAUUUACCAUUUUCAAGGGAAAUUACCCAUUAAACUGAGAAGUCCUUAAAAAAAAAUUCUUAACUAUACACUCCAGGCUGUCCUUAGGAAAGCUGGAUGUUUGCUAAGCCACUUUCACGUGUUGUCCGAGAAGAGAGGACUGCAGUAGCACUGCAUAUUAAAGAACUGCCCAUCACAUCGACGCUUAACAAUCUGAUGGAAAAUGAUGCAGAAUGGGGCUGAGACAGUGAUGAGUAGGGAAUUAAUCCUUACUCUCUCCCUCCACAUUCAGAAAGGCAUUGCAUCCCUUCUCUUUGACUGAAGCAGUGACAGUUGUCUUCCCUGUUCAGAACAGUCUUGUUCCUUCAGCUGAAGCCAGAUUACAUCCAUGAGCUCUUCUAUUAACUUCAGAGACUGAAUUUAUAAAGGAACUUUGGCUCAACAUUGCAAAACACAGAAAUUCUGGCCAUGAGUCACCAAGAACUUGAACACAUCUUCAAGCCAGUUCCUGACACUUCGGAGAAUGAAGCUCAACACACAUAUUCAUGCCCUCUCUCUCAAUCUUCUAGUAAAACAGCUAUUCCUUUCAUUGUGCUGGCACAUUAUUUCUGUUAUGGGUGAUAAAAAUUGUGCCCAAACCUCACUGUGCUAAAGGAAAGGGAGUGGAAAGAGGAACGGGUUACCUGGGAGGACUACAGAGAAGUUUUCCGAGCAGCCAGGGAUCAGGUUAGGAAUGCUAAAACCCAGACAGAAUUGAAUCUAGCCAGGGGCAUAAAGGGGAACAAGAAGAAAUCCUGCAGGUACAUCAGUGAUAAAAAGAAGGUCAGGAAAGAUGUGGGACCUCUCCAGAAGGAAACUGGAGACCUGGUCAGAAGGGAUAUGGAGAAGGCUGAGAUGCUCAAUUACUUCUUUGCCUCAGCCUUCACCGGGCUCUAGCUGCACUGCCCAAGCUGCAGAAAGCAAAGGUAAGAGCUGGAAGAAGGAAGAUCUGCCUGCUGUAAGUGAAGAUCAGGUUUGAGAUCAUCUAAAGAACCUGAAGGUGAACAAGUGCAUGGGAUCUGACACGAUCUUCCCACAGCUUCUAAGGGAACUGGCAGAUGAAGUUGUCAAGCCAUUAUCCAUCAUAUUUGAAAGGUCGUGGCAGUCUGGUGAAGUUCUCACUUACUGGAAAAGGGGAAACAUAAACCACAUUUUCAAGAAGGGAAAAAAAAGAUAAUUCAGGGAACUACAAGCCAGUCAGUCUCACCUCUGCGCCUGGCAAGAUCAUGGAGCAGAUCUUCCUGAUGGCCCUACUAAGGCACAUGGAAAAUAAAGAUGAGGUGACUGAUGGUAACCAACAUGGUUUCACCAAGGGCAAGUCAUGCCUGACAAACUUGGUGUCUUUUUAUGAUGGAGUUGCAGCAUCAGCAGAUAUAGGAAGAGCAACUGAUGUCCUCUACCCAGACUUGUGCAAAGUGUUUGAUGCUGUUCCGCUUGACAUCCUGGUCACCCAAUUGGAGAAAAAUGGAUUGGAUGACCACUCACUGAAUGAAGAGUUGUCUGGAUGGUCACACUCAGAGUUGCAGUCAAUGGCUCAAUGUCCAAGUGCAGUCCGGUGAUGAGUGGUAUUCCUCAGGGAUCAGUGCUGGGACCAGUGUUAUUUCAUGUCUUUGUAGCUGAUAUGGACAGCGGGAUGGAGUGUGCCCUCAGCAAGUUUGCAGACAACACCAAGCUGAUUGGUGCAGUGGACACACUAGAGGGAAUGGAUGCCAUCCAGAGGGACCUGAACAGGCUUGAGAAGUGGGUGAAACACAUACCUCUGAGAGAUAGAUCUGGAUGGGAAGGUGGAGAGGUUGUGACAAAAUGAGUAAAGAAAGAAUAUAGAAGAAACAGAGGAAGCAGGUAUGAACUAGACUGUACCAUUGAUUUAUGAAUGAAAAUCGAGAAGUUUUUCUGAUUCAGGUGCAAAAAUUAAACUAGCCCUUGGGCACUUCCACCUUUGUGACUUUGCAACAGUCCAUAAUAUUUCACCCAAAAUGAUAUGCAUCUGUAUUGUAUGUCACAUGCCUACAGGCACCAAAUAGAUCAUUCUACUGUGAAAAUAGGACUUUUCAUUUAUUUUAUUUAUUGCAAAAUAAAACAUCUUGUUUUUUUUCACCUCCUUCUCCAUGAGUAUAGGGAGAGUCUGGGUCUAUGCUGGCAUUCAAAUGCAGUAGGUAAUUUCCACAACACAGAAGCUGGGGGAUUCUUUUAGUAUUGUUUGCAGAGAAGUCAAGAGCCAGAGUCAGAUCUAUAGGAGUGAGAAAAAUAAUGUCUAGUCAAUGAUCUGUCAUGAAAGUUUGCUAGGUAGGGAUCUUAGGAUGAAAUGCCCUCUGAGUAUCUGUUUCUUUUAUUCCUCUGAGAAAAAGGACAAUCAGUUAUGGACUUUGUUCCUUCAGCUCCUGAUGGCAGAAUCAUAGAAUCAUAGAAUUAUAGGAUGGCUUGGUUUGGAGGUGGCCUUAAAAAUCAUCAGACUCCAGUCCUCUCACUACAGGGUUCCACCCACAAGCUCAGGCUGCCCAGGAUCCCAUCCAACCUGGUAUUGAAUGCCUCCAGGGAUGGGGCAUUCAGAGUUUCACCGGGCAGCCUGUAGCAGUAGAAAAUUGGUGAGACAUAUCCCAACAUAGGUAUUUAAUAUUUUCUACAGGCAUUGGGGUCCAAGACACUGAGAAGAAAUUCAGCUAUUCAGUGCAGUGGUGGAUCAGCAGUCACAUCCCUGAUAAAGCCCUGAAGCAAGAAACAGAACAUCCCUGAUAAAGCCCCGAAGCAGUCUGCUUUUUUAACCAGUGAAAGGAAAGCCUAGCUCCAUGCCAGCAUUGGCAUUUCCUGCCAUAAGCUUUCCGUGGUGAGGCACAAAUAUUACUUGAAAACAGUCUGCUAAUUUCUGCCAGUUAGUGCUGCAAUCUGCUGCUGCUUUAAAGCACUUGAUGCUUCUCUUUGAGGUGUUACUCUGCCAGUAUUAGGGCCCUGGACUUUAUCACACAAAGAGCCAUAUAUGGGACAGAAGCAGAAAGAAGAUGAUGACCAUUGGCAUAAACACUAAAAUAUUAUUUCCAAACCUUCAGGUUAGCAGUUCAUUCAACAUCACCUUUGCUCCUCGAAAGGCAUGCACUCUGCAUUACACAGUGUUUUAAGGUGUCAGUGUUUAAGUGAAAUUGAUCGAUGCAUGAGGUACAGACAUAAUGAUGAUAUUCUGAAGACAGCUCUGCCUGCAUGGACAGGAUUGUCCUUGCUAGUUUGCAUGCAGAAGGAAUCAUGAUAUCUGUUCCGGGGAACUUGAUAAUCUCUUGCAGUUAAUACUGUAAUUGGAGGUGUUGGAAGAGCUUGUUGAGUUCAUGCCAGGGAAUGUGAGCGUCUCACAAGGCUACGGACACCAUACUAUACACUAGCCAACCAACCUGCCUGCUGCUGCGGAUGCUUAUACAGAACUCUUGCUUUUGCAAAUCACUCGUCUGAACAGCAAAAUGUUCAACACUCAUUCCUUCAAAAUGUGAUCAUAGAGUGCCAUCAGUAAUAUCCACACAUCUGACAGCAUCCUUGGUGGCAAGGGCAAGCCAUCCUCCCUCUUUUUAAAAGCGAGCAGCAUCUGUCACCACCACCGGGCUCCCACUGCUAUCCCAUGGUGAGGCCAAGGCCAGGCUAGGAUGUGACUACCCUGCUAUCUCUUAGCAGAACUUCCCAGGCUGAUUCCAGCCUCACUGUUUCAGAUCACAAAUGUACAAAUAUGCACUAGAGAAACCAAAUCUCAAAAAAAAAGUUGCUUCCUACAGCCUUUGCCAUCCUUCAAGGACAAAAUUUCUGACUUCCAGUGUGUUGCUCAUAGGGAUACAGCUCUGCAAUAAUGCCAUGAAGGCAGAAGUGGCCAUCAGAAAGGGAUAGCAGAAAAUUUCAGCAAGAAUCUUUCGCCUUAAACGCAUUUCUUCUGGAGUUUAGCAGAUCUUUGCAGAGAAAUUGUUUGCAGCUCAUCUGUGGUGACUGAGACCAUUGUCUGCUGUUAAGUAAUGAGUUAUUUUUAUCCACCGAAGCUCACCAGCAUCUCUGAGGGUGACGGCACCUUGCCAAGGCUUUGGAAAGUCUGCUUGAGCUGAUACACAAAGAUGAAUGGUUGAGGCAAGCCUGGAGGACACUUCUGAGUCAACCUUACAGAGGGAAUUAAAUCCAAAUAUACCAGGUAGCUCCACAGUGGAGUUGCUGAAAAGUUGUUUUUGCUUCUCUUCUGACAGAUGGCAGAGAAUGAUGUCUCCUGGUCUUUUGGAAAUCCCUUUUACUUUUCCUCCUACAGCAAAAAAGUUCCAAACAGGUUUGUGACGGGUACUAGGGAAGCAUGGGCUUUACAGUUGUAUGUGCACAGUUAGGUUUAGGUUGUAAUGUUGCAAUAAAAAUGGCCAUGCUUAUGAA
This is a long non-coding RNA of Gallus gallus (chicken), 8770 nucleotides long. RefSeq lists it as uncharacterized. Lineage: Eukaryota; Metazoa; Chordata; Aves; Galliformes; Phasianidae. The record is from RefSeq and is a predicted model, not a curated record. The transcript is spliced from 2 exons.